CUAACUCUAUUCGUGCCCCUGCAGAGCGCUUUAGAGGCUGGCUCCCCUGUUACCUCCAUGCCCUCACAGCUAUGUGUGAAGCUGUAGUGUUAAGUUGGCUGUCCAGUGAUGCUGUGGAACUUGAGGGCCCAGUGUUUCUUUAAGGCCUCCGGUCACUCAAAGGCGUUAAGCUCUGGACCAGCGAGGCAGGUCAUUUGGUCCCUCACGAUGCAGAGCUUCAGGAAUGUGAGACCUUUGAGGAAAAUGAGAAGCUCCUGCUGAAGCUGCAGAUGUUUCAGUGUGGAAGGUUAGUGUCUCUGAAGAUGGAGCUGCUAAAACCUUAACAACGUCAUAAAGUAAAACAACAGGGAUAUUUACUGAUGCCAGUUCUUUAACGAUACUGUGGUUUUCGAUUCCGAUAAAAAAACUCGAAGUAUCUUAAACAGGAACCGAAAAGAGACGGAGCUCUGAUGCUGCUGGUCAAAUAAAUGACACAGACUUAAAUCUUUAAUGAGUCUGAUACGACUGUAUUUAUGGAAACAGUGUAACCGUGUCCAGCUGCAGGCGUGACAUCAGGAUCAGGGUUUAUUGUCUUUGUCAGUAAACAG
Molecule: long non-coding RNA, 587 nt
Filed under: Neogobius melanostomus (round goby)
Lineage: Eukaryota; Metazoa; Chordata; Actinopteri; Gobiiformes; Gobiidae
Description: lncRNA (ENSNMLG00000006641.1)
Source: RNAcentral